This is a non-coding RNA of Arvicola amphibius (Eurasian water vole), 491 nucleotides long. NCBI's taxonomy places the organism in Eukaryota, Metazoa, Chordata, Mammalia, Rodentia, Cricetidae. The record is from the annotation of a RefSeq genome assembly.
UCAAGAUGAAGUCACAAACACAUGUCCUCAUGUCCUUAUUACUCUGGGUGUCUGGUGCCUGUGCAGAUUUCAUAAUGACCCAGUCUCCAUCCUCCAUGGUUGUGUCAACAGGAGAGAAGGUCACCAUCAGCUGCAAGUCCAGUGAGAGUCUUUUAUACAGUAAAGACCAGAAGAACUACUUGAACUGGUACCAGCAGAAACCAGGGCAGGCUCCAAAACUGUUAAUCUACUAUGCAUCCACUCGGCAUACUGGGGUUCCUGAUCGCUUCUUAGGCAGUGGAUCUGAGACAGAUUUCACUCUCAUCAUCAGCAGUGUCCAAGCUGAAGAUCAGGCAGAUUAUUACUGCCAGCAGUCGUAUAAAUCUCCUCCCACAGUGUUUAAUCCUUCAACAAAAACUUCUGAGAGUCUCAACAGCUGCCUGCACCACAUGCUGCCCUGCACCCACAUACUUUUCUCUUUUGCCUGGGAGACAGUGAGCCUAAAACUCUGA